GACGAACGCUGGCGGCGUGCUUAACACAUGCAAGUCGAACGGAAAGGCCCUGCUUUUGUGGGGUGCUCGAGUGGCGAACGGGUGAGUAACACGUGAGUAACCUGCCCUUGACUUUGGGAUAACUUCAGGAAACUGGGGCUAAUACCGGAUAGGAGCUCCUGCUGCAUGGUGGGGGUUGGAAAGUUUCGGCGGUUGGGGAUGGACUCGCGGCUUAUCAGCUUGUUGGUGGGGUAGUGGCUUACCAAGGCUUUGACGGGUAGCCGGCCUGAGAGGGUGACCGGCCACAUUGGGACUGAGAUACGGCCCAGACUGCUACGGGAGGCAGCAGUGGGGAAUAUUGCACAAUGGGCGGAAGCCUGAUGCAGCAACGCCGCGUGCGGGAUGACGGCCUUCGGGGUGUAAACCGCUUUCGGCUGUGACGAAGCGUGAGUGACGGUAAUGGGUAAAGAAGCACCGGCUAACUACGUG
Molecule: ribosomal RNA, 468 nt
Filed under: uncultured bacterium
Lineage: Bacteria
Description: partial 16S ribosomal RNA
Rfam family: Bacterial small subunit ribosomal RNA
Source: RNAcentral